UUCUGGUCUGUGUCUUAGGUUUGUUCUGUUCAUGAGUUGAGAGGUGCCAGAGGCACAUCCCUCUGGUUAAAGGCUCGUGUCUUGGGGAUUUGUAUUUUGAAGGGGAAUAAUAAAGGAUAUUUUAAACCAAUGUCUAUAUGUGUGUGUGUGUCUUAGAGACACAGACACACAGUUCAUGAGUUCUGUGUCUUAUGAUAGUGUCACUUUAGUGUGUGUUAGAAGUAUUAACUGUGCUUUGCUGCUGGUCUGUUGAGUGGUAUUUACAGAAAACAUUCCCAUGAAUUUUUUGAAUUGUGUAUUUGUCUUUCAUGAAAUACUACACAGUUUGGUAGAAACUUCCAUCCUUCCUCUAAAGCUGCCCGUCCUUGUAAACACCUCUAGCAAUUUAUGAUCCAAUUUCUCAUGAUUUUUUUGAAUUUUGUAUUUGUCUUUCAUGAUAUACUACACAGUUUGGUAGAAACUUCCACCCUUCCUCUAUAGCUGCCCGUUCUUGUAAAUACCUCUAGCAAUUUAUGAUCCAAUUAUUAGUAUUCAUUAUUAAGAUCAAUAUAACAACAAUGUUUUAGAUGUCAUGUGGCUUAAAGGCAAUGCUCAAUCAGGAGCCUUAUAGAGACAUCGCAGAAGCUUACUUUUGUACAUAUAACCUAAUAAUAAUGGGACUUCUCUUUAUAUGCUUUAUUGCCAUGCAUUACACUGACAGUAUGAUACUGCAUUGCGGACCAGCAUGUAUUCUUUUCACAUACGAGUUCAUUGUCAUACAAAUUCAUGCAUUUGUAGUUAAGGUUUUGUUUAAAAAAAAUGUUCAGUAGGAGAGCUGCACAACUUUUCGUGUUUCCUUAUUGCUGUUUCGGAUGGUAUUUCCUUCACUUGAAAAUUCUUUUGUUCUUUCUUGUCAUUUUUAAAUUCUUUUAUCGUGCAUGUCGUGUCACCUAACAGUGCGGUUCUGUUUAUGUGCAUGCAGGGACUUACUAUCAUUGCUUUUAACAAUGGCAGUUUUGACACAAAUACUGUAUUGGAACUUCUUAGCCUGGGCCCAACUUAUAUCAUAAUGGAAUUUAUUGAGAGUUUGUACCAAAAAACCUCUUCGUUACCAUAGUAGUGUGAUCUUUUGCAUAAAUUCUCUUGUAGGUGACUAAUUGCUUCUAUUUGUUGUUUUGUUUGAGGAAGGUGUAUUGGACAUUCUAAUGAUGUAUGGCGCCUAUUCAACAUCUCGUGGUUCUGCAAUCACUAGAGUGAUCUGGCGAUUCUGUUGGUUUACCGCAGCUUCAUUGGUCAUCUGUUACCUAUAUAUGUAAGUUUCGAUACCUGCCCAGAUCACUAUGUAACUAAUUGGAAUUAUUGGAAUUAUUGGCAAUUCACUAUGUAACUGGAUGAUUUGUUUCAAUUGUUCCAUUAAGGAUCUUAUAUCAUGUAGCUCAAGAUGAAUACUAAAAUUCUUGGAAUAUAUCUUUCCCAUGAUACAAUCAGUAAGCGUUUGAUCCUGGACUGUUGGAAAAUAGAUAAAGUUUGACCUGGUGCCCUCAAUCUCCCUGGCACUCGUAAUUGGUGGGUUGAAAUAUGAUCUGUUCUUAAGGCCCAAGCAUAAGGACUAAUGGCUAACAUUUUGCUAGCCUUGCUAUUUUUUUUAAUAAAGAAAGGAUUAAUGGUUAUCCAUUAGUCAUUUGAGAUAUAUCUAUAAUCUUGGUUGUGUUGAAUAUAAGGGCAUGAUGGCCAACAGUAGAAAGAUCCAAUUUGUACCUAAUUGGGAUGUCUGGCCCAUCUUGACUUGGUUUGUAUGUCCUUUGAAGCUUGUCAUUAUGUAAACCACCCUCCAUUAGUUUCUGGCACUCGGCAUCUCGUUUGACAGUGUUGGUUAAUACAUCUUAAUUCUGAGAACAAGAUGGGUAGAACAAGGCUUUACAUGGUUUGCUUGAAAAAGUUAAUAGCAGGUUGGCCCAAGAACAUCUCUUCUGUUUUUCCGAAAUGAAAAUACUAAAACUGGCCUGUGGACCAGGACAUCAGUUCAGUUUUAUUGAUGAAACUAUCACAUUAGCCAUCCAAACUUUUUUGUAGGUAUUUUGACAAUUCUAGUUAUCGAGGAGCAAAGUAUUGACACCCUUUGAUGUCAAACUCUAAUGCUUAUGCUAGUUUACUUGGAUGAAAAACUGAGUUCUUUACGUACCUACUCGCCUUUGCAUUUAUGACCGCAAUCUUUAGCAAAACUUCCUGCCCAAGCGUAUUAAUAGAUCCCCUUUUUUGGUAUCAAAGUGUGGGGAAAAUCCCUUUGUAGUGUUUUCUCAAUUUCAGUAAAAGUAUAAUAACUUGUUGUUUGCAGCAAGGCACUUCAAGAUGGGGUGCAAUCUGCACCUUUUAAGAUAUAUGUUGUUGUCAUCAGCGCGUAUGCGGGUUUCCAGAUAAUCAUCAGCCUUCUCAUGAGCGUUCCCUGCUGCCGUGGUAUUACCAAUGCUUGCUACAGCUGGUCUUUUGUACGCCUUGCCAAGUGGAUGCAUCAGGUCUUGUCCCUUUUCACACUUUCUGAAGGCGUAAAGCUGCCUUUCUGUAGAAACAUUUGUGGUGAAAGUCCUCUAGAUUAUGUUAAUGAUGUCUGACUUCUUUUUUAUAUAUUGAAGGAACAUAAUUAUGUUGGAAGAGGCUUGCAUGAAAGGCCUCUAGAUUAUAUCAAGUAAUCUGGUCUAACCCUGAAGCAUAGUUCUGUAAUUGUGCUGGCAUGUUCCAAGCACAUCAUCACUAACUUGAGUUACUGUGCAGAUAUGCCGCUUUCUGGCUUGUUAUUUUUGCUGCGAAAUUUUCAUUCACCUAUUUCCUCCAGGAAAGUUUAGUUUAUCUGUUUUAACUCUGCUCUCUGCUUUUACCGGCAUCACUUUGUAUUUGAAAGUUGGCUUUCUUAUGCAGAUUAGACCUCUUGUAAAACCAACAAGACUGAUAAUCAGUUUCAAAGGCUUACAGUAUCAAUGGCAUGACUUUGUUUCAAAGAGUAAGUAUAUACCCCCUCUGUACCUAAAUAANNNNNNNNNNNNNNNNNNNNNNNNNNNNNNNNNNNNNNNNNNNNNNNNNNNNNNNNNNNNNNNNNNNNNNNNNNNNNNNNNNNNNNNNNNNNNNNNNNNNNNNNNNNNNNNNNNNNNNNNNNNNNNNNNNNNNNNNNNNNNNNNNNNNNNNNNNNNNNNNNNNNNNNNNNNNNNNNNNNNNNNNNNNNNNNNNNNNNNNNNNNNNNNNNNNNNNNNNNNNNNNNUUAUUUAGGUACAGAGGGAGUACACACUUCAUCCCAUCAUUACAGUCUUUUUUUAGCAUCAAUUGAUCAUUGUAAUUGUUCACUUUCUUGUUUUUUCUUCGAGAAAAUACAUGAGCAUUUCGUUUGGUUAUAUUGAUAGAACAAAAAUAUGCUAUUUGCAGGCCUAAUAGUGCCUCUAAAUCUCUUUGCAAAUAUUUGUUCCUUCUGGUUCUGUUGUAUAUCUGGAAAUAUUUUUGCUUGAAAAGUGUAUCUCUUCCCAUACAUUAGUGCCCUAAAUCUCUGAAGCCUUUUAUGUUGCAACUUGCCACCAUGUUUUUCCAUUGCUAUCCCAGUGUGAUGCGCUAAGCUGUGCCCUUUAAUGUGCAAAACUUGUAUGCAAUUUCUAUCAUUCUGAAGUGAGCUUGUAGGCCCAGCUUUUAAUUUUCGUAUUGGUUCUUGGAAUGCUUGCAGAUAACCAUAAUGCGAUUACAAUCCUUUCUUUAUGGGCUCCAGUGGCCUCAGUAAGUAACCUUUUUUCCUUCUAGCUUUGGUUGACAUAUAUGUACCAUUAUAGUAUUAUUUCACAUACAUCCCCUCUCUCCCAUUUAUUCAACUGUAGGUAUGAUAUAUAAUUCACAGCACUACACAAUCAUUAACAAUGAUCCUUUCGAAAUGACAAUGUAAUAAGGUUCCUUUAGAAGAAUUAAUUUGAUUAUCAUUUCAGUGUAACUUUGGGUCUUAUUGAAACAUUACACAACUUACUGGAGGCACAACUCCAGCUUACAGAACUCCAAAGAAUGAUGAUAGUUGGGUAUCAGUUCAAAUGUGUCAAGCAUAAUAAGCUCAAUAAUCUGGUAGAAAUGCACAGAUACACUUCUUUAGUGAUAUGAUACCCACUUGGAUAAACUAUCUCCUUACUAUCCAACAAGAGAAAAUACUUGUACAGAGCUUCUAUGGAUGACAAAGGAGUAAGUAGGCAAUAUGUAGCAGAUGUGCAGAAGGUAUUUCCAAGGCAUUGGAAUUUGGAACACUGAAAGAGCACUAAUUAAUUACCAGUCAGUUUACUCUCAUGGGCACAUUGGGUACAUCGAGCCAUACGCUUCCAUUCUGCUUGACUCGUUGACUAUGGGUGCUUCCUCAGUGUUUAUGUGCAACUCACACACAACUAGGAGUAAACCAUGUGGGGCUAAACCCAACAUUACCUGGUCAAACAUGGGUGCUCUUGUGCCGAUGUGUUCACUGCAUAUUGGUUAGCUGAUGAUAUCAGUUGUGGUCAUUGCUUUACUUGAUCCUGAUCUGUAGAGCAUGUGACGAUGAAUUUUGAAUUCUGUGCUGUAGACUGAAAGUUCUGAGUCAAUAGUUGAACUACCACGUAGAUGUCAGCUGAUGCAUGGUGUGAACAUAGCUUCAGACCUGAAAAAAAAUAUGGUUUCCUUGCCAGCGGCCACAGGAUAAGUAAAAUGACCACAUAUUUGUUUCAGACUAUCUGUUUUGAUGGUAAUUUAUCUUCUUAUAUCUUUAUUUUGGCAUGCUGGCUAUUAGUUCAUGGAUAGGUGACAAACUGAUAAAUAUUGUUUCUGUGGCAAAUUAUUAUCUUGCUGAAUCACCAUGCAACCUUUAUAAUUAAGAUCAGAUACAUGGUACGCUAAACUUGCAUAUGCCUGUCCAUCAGCUUGCUUGUUCCUUUUAUUUCUGUUAGGCUGAUUGUGCAGGUAGCUGCUUCUUAUACGCAGUGAACAUAAAUGCAUAUUUAUAAGAGGAAUAUUAUUGUGCAGAUCUAUCUUUUGGACAUCCAUGUUUUUUACACCAUCAUGUCUGCUCUUGUUGGAUUCCUCCUUGGUGCACGUGAUCGCCUGGGAGAGGUUAGCCCUUAAACUGUAGCUGUAUGCUGUUUUCAUGCGGUUAUUUUCUCACAAGUUGCUUCUGGAAGAUCUAUUACUCUUGUUGUUUACAAGGGAAUCUUUGUUGUUUUCUGUAAGAUGAUUUUAUUGGACUAUCACUGUGUAGUUAGUAAAAAGAGGGGAGGUGUGGGAGGAAAACUUCCACCAACGCUGUCAAUAUAAAAGAUGAGGGGUCGAACCGGUUGGCUGUUCCACCAACUGUGGUUCUAGAUAACUGAGCUCAGGAGGUGGCUUAUUAUGUGUAGUUAGUCAGUGUAAAGUGCACUUCUGUAAGAGCAUCUCCAACAGGCGCACAAAAAAGGCCUCGCGCGCUAAAAACUGGCGUUUUUGUGCACCCGAGACAAAAACUAGUUCUCCAGCAGAGGCUGUAAAAUAGUGCGCGCACAAAAUGCGUCAGCGCGCCCGCUGCAGUUGGGCGUGCUGGCUUCUGGGCUGCAUAUUUGAGGCGCCGGAUUGUGCGCGUUGGUCGCUGCACGUGGGGCCGUCGGAUUGGGCGCCAUAUUUUGCAGUGCCUGUUGGAGCAAACAUUCUCCAGCGCGCUAAAAAACGCUAUUUCGGCGCUGAAUAAAUUUUUUAGUGCGCGGCGCUAGCACGCGUCUGUUGGAGAUGGCUCUAAGAGCAUCUCCAACAGGCGCGCUAUACAAGCGCCGCGCCGCAAAAAAGGCAGUUUUAGCGCGCGCGCAACGCAGCGGGCAGCUCCAGUGGGCGCGCAAAAACGGCGCGCGCGCCAUUUCCAUUUCAGCGCGCUGGCCGAAACGCAAUCCCGCGCCCCUUAUUUGCUGCGCUGGCUCCCGCGCGCGCGACUCUCCCGCGCUCGCUCCUGCUCUCUCCCGCAACGCACAAUGAUCUUCAGAAGGAUCUGAUUGAAGAGUGGUGGGCAUGGCAUGGACGACAAAGAGCAUGAUUUGGUUGUGUUUAUUGCAUUAUUUGUAUUGUAUUGUUCAUGAACUAUUGGUUGUGUUUAUUGCAUUAUUUGUUGUACUGAAGGAUAAACUAUUUGUUUGAGUUGUAAUGACUAUUUAUUGUUGAUUUAUUUUGUUUGUUUGAUCGUUUUUGCGCCUAUUUUUUGAAAUGUAUAUGUGGUGUAUAUGUGGUUUGUGCGUGCUGCGCGCGCUGCAUUUUUGGGCACUGCUGGAGCGGCGCGCGCGCGCUGCAUUAUAGCGCGGCUGUUGGAGCCAGCGCCUAUCUCCGCGCUAAACCAUUCGAAGCGCGCGCUGCAAACGCAUUUUUUGGGCGCGGCCCGAAGCGCGGCUGUUGGAGAUGCUCUAAGGAAAUACAAUCAUAAAUAGCACAUGAACCAUUCACAUGCAAAAUAUAUUAACUUUUGGUUCCCCGCAUAUGGUUCAUAUUUUGUUGUUUUCUUUCCUAGCUCUUCAUAUAUUUAUGGCUGAUAAAGCGCGGUUUGUUUGAUUAUCUGUUGCUUUAUCCUGCCUGGUGGUCCUAUUUUUUUACAGAUUAGGUCUGUUGAAGCAGUUCACAGGUUCUUUGAGAAGUUCCCUGAAGUAUUCAUGGAUAAACUUCAUGUUGCUGUUCCAAAAAGGUUUUAAAUGUUUAUACAGUUUUUUUACACACCAUUUCAAUACACUAAAGCUGGUUUUGAUGGAUCAUACAGGAAACAACUGCUAUCAUCUGGUCAGGUGUGUUUCCUUUUCACAUCAGUACUCCACAACUUGUUCCUUUAUAAUUUAGCUUUCUGUAGCGGGAUCCCUGAUCGCAUGUUUUUUGAAAUAUAUUCUCCAAAUUCAAUAUUUAUUUCCUCAAGUUAAGAAGCUUUGUCUUGUAAAGAGCUCAUGGUUCAACUUGAUAUUUACUCUCAUAUGUUACUAGAAACAUGUAGAAACGUACCAUUGGAGUACCUUCUACGAGAAAUAUGACAGUCUAAUUUUCUCGUAAAAACUUAUCUAUGCUCAUAUUUGUUGUCAAAAUUACCAAGUGUGUUUGCUAAUGGACAUGAAAGUGAUAAAUUUUGGAUCAGUGGUAGCUUGUUUUGUCUGUUAUAGUAUUAUUUUUCUUGUAGCCACUGGCUCCUUAGCUUAAAGCAUGAACUUCAGACUUGAAAUAUUCUCGUUCCUACAAAGUGAAUAUAUUUGUUAAGAAGUUAAAUAGGUAGGCAUUGCUCCUCCUGUGCAAAGUGAAUAUUCUUGUUCCUACAAAGUGAAUAUAUACCUGUGCAAAAUAAUCAAUUCUCCACUGAAAGUUAAAUAGGUAGGCAUUGUUUCUCCUCCUGUCUGAGUAUUCCUCAGUCCUAAUCCUCCUCCAUUACACAAGCAUCUCUGCUUCCUAUGCCUUACACCUGUGAUGCCCCUCUUUAGCGUUUUCUAGAUAUCUUGUGUAAUUUUCAUUUUGUUUUUAAAUUGUCCUGUAUGUUCUAAUGUGUAUAGCCAUUAUCGGAGUCAUCAUUGUUCUACUUCAAUUCCUGCCUUGCACCGGACUUAUAAUAAUUCGGCAUGGUCGUUUAAGAUUUUGGUUAUAACAGUUAUGGCUAAGUGUUUUGCAUUUGUAUUGCUAUUGCUUUGCUUAAGCAAGUAAUACUGCCUUUUUGUUGCGCAAAUUAUAAAUAUACCAUGUUUUCUCUGAGUUAUUUAUUUUUAGUUUAAAUAUGCUGACACUGGAAACACCAAAUUUACCAGCAUGCAGAGUUAAACAAGCUUGAUGCAUCUAGAUUCGCUCCUUUCUGGAAUGAAAUUGUGAAGAAUUUGCGGGAAGAGGACUACAUUAGCAACACGUCAGCAAAUUUCUUCUCAAUUUGUGUUAUUGUUUUGUUGAAAGCCAUAGCUCUGAUGUUUUGACCCUUUUGCAGUGAGCUGGAUUUACUCUUGAUGCCAAAGAACAUAGGUGGUCUUCCAAUUGUGCAGUGGCCACUUUUUUUGCUUGCUAGCAAGGUUAGAAGUCAACCAAGUUUAACUUCUAAUAGUAUUCCCUUGCAUGUUCUCCACGUGCUGUCACUUUAGUGAUCAGUUGCCCUUCGAUUGCAGGUUUUCUUGGCCAAAGAUAUUGCAGUUGAUUGCAACGACUCACAAGAUGAACUAUGGCUAAGGAUCUCAAAGGACGAAUAUAUGCAAUACGCUGUUGAGGAGUGCUUUCAUAGCAUCAAGUAUAUCCUGUCAUCUAUUCUAGAUAAAGAAGGCCAUCUCUGGUAAUGGUUUUUUAGAACAUUAUUUGUUUUCAUUCUGUGUCCUUUCACCUAGUAGUUCAGCAGAUUUUUUAUGCUGCAAAGUAUUUUAAUUUUUUAGGGUGCAAAGGAUUUUUGAUGGUAUUCAAGAAAGCAUUUCAAAGAACAACAUCCAGAGUGAUAUUCAUUUCAGCAAAUUGCCUAAUGUCAUUGCCAAGCUUGUUGCUGUAGCGGGAAUACUGGUAAAUAUUAUGAUUUAGUUUGAAUACAUUAAUAUUCUGGUGUGUUUUUUGGGUGCCUUUUCAGUUACAUGCGUGUAUCGGUCAUAUUUACGGCAAGAUCACCUUAUUCCACUGGAGUCCGAACUUCUCCAUUUGCUAGAACUAGAUUCUCUUUGGUUAUCUUGUGCUCCCUCCGUCCGAAAAUACUUGUCAUAGGAAUGGAUGUAUCUAGAUGUAUUUUAGUUCUAGAUACAUCCAUUUUUAUACAUUUGUGCGACAAGUAAUUCCGGACGGAGGGAGUAUUUUAUUGCUUACUCACUGAGGCAGAUAUCCAUGGUACUGUGAAAGCUCUGUUGAAACCUCCUAGCAUUCUCUUUUCAGUUACAUGUCUUGUAUAGACCAUAUCUGCUGGAAGAUCACCUUAUUCAUGGCUGAAAUCCAAUCUAUACCAUUUGCUAGAACUAGAUUUUCUUUACGCUCCCUUUGGAUGUUUGCAUUAAGAGUCUUGGCAUUGCAUUGUGUUGAAUACCAAUAUAACAGUAUAUUGGUAUUGAGAUUGAAUGCCAAUAUUUCAGUUUGGAUGUUUUGGUAUCUAGAACACGAUUUGAUAUCGAGGUUGAAUGCCAAAUUCCGUUUGGAUGGUGAAAGUGUGGAAUUAGGUCGAAUGAGACUUUGCCGGACAGGGGAGAGGGGAGAAGGCCGGUCGCUGGAUCCCGUGGUGGAGGCUGGGCGGAAGGGUGCCGCCGGCCGCUGGAUCUCAAGGGGAGGCGGUGCGGGAGGGUGGCGCGGGCCGCCAGAGCUUGGGGUGGAGGUGGGGCGGGAGGGUGGCACCGUCUGUUGGAGCUUGGGAGAGCUACCUGCGCCGGAGCCUCGGGGUGGAGGGCCGCCGGCCGCCGGAUCUCGGGUUGGAGACAGGGUGGGAGGGAGGGCCGCCGAUUGCCGGAUCUCGCGCCGGAGCUCGGGGUAGAGGGACGCCGUCCACCGGAGCCCUGGUGGAGGUGGGGGGAUGGGCUACCUGCGCCGCCGUCGUUCCUCUGUCGCGAGCGGGGAUGGAAGGCAGGACGCUGCUUUUCAAUACCCAGCGAUGUCGAGCGCACACCCUCCGAAUUGGGCCAGGGGCUUCUUGCGUUAGGGACGGGUUGCUCAAUAUCGAGCCCGGAUGCCACGGUUGAAUGCCAAAGUCACCCAAACGGUGGUAUUCGGCCCAGAUGAAUGCCAAUGCCCAAUACCAGGCCUGAAUGUAAACAUCCAAACAGAGCGUUAGAAAUCUUGUAUUUUAUAGCCAGAGUGCUAUCUACUCAAGACAGAUGUCGCUGGUACUGUAAAAAUUCUGCUGAAACCUCCUAGCAUUCUCUACACCAUUUUGAUCUGCCCCUGUGGCUGGCAGUUUUGGAUGUGCUUUCUUAUAUUAAAUAAAUUAUGGUUUGCAUGUCCUUUAAUUGGCAGUGACAACUCUUAUCAACAUUUCCAGUUUUUGCACUUCCUUGUAUAGCCAUGACUUGGAACACUAGCAUGUCCAUUUGGGCCACUUCUGACAUGUUGGCUUUGGAGUGAAAUGGGGUCGAAGUCCCUUAAUUCAAACAUAUGCAAUAAAAACAUUUUUUAUGAAUGCAUAAAGAGGCUAGAUAGCUACCACCUGUAAGAUAAACUGGAGUGUGCUGCCUAUUUUCGUUUACUCAAGUCCAUUAAAGUGCUGUUGCUAUCUAGGACUAGACCAACGACGGGAGUUUGCUGCCAGUGUUAUGUUAUUAGCAUUUGGAAGAUAACUUUCGUUACACAUCUUUUGUGAGACAAACAUAAUGAUUGAGUUACUUGGUAACUGAUUCAUGAAAACACACACAUAAUGCAGUAAUUUUGAGUCUUUAGUUUGUGAGAAAGGCUGUUUGGUUCCAAGAAAUAGGUGAAAUCAUAUGUUAUAAAUCAUGGGAGCAAUGUUGGUCUGACCAAGGGUGUUCAGGACUUUGGUGAAAGUAGUCAAAUAUGAUACAAAUCUUUUCCUGAUCCUGAUCUAACAUUUUAAUCCCUGGUCCUAAAAUCUAUACUAUUGUUAGUAUGGUAUUUAGAACAGUUUACUAGUUUAUAUAACUGUUGAAAUGAUGUUUUGCAGAAAGAAACGGAAUCUGCUGAUAUGAAGAAGGGGGCAGUUAAUGCUAUUCAAGAUCUAUACGAAGUUGUUCAUCACGAAGUACUUUUUGUUGAUUUGAGGUCUGCUAUCUUGUCUAUAAUGUUCUAACCUUAUAGUCAGAUCUGUAUGCUGUUGUGCCAUUUCAUUUCUAAUCCCCUUUGCUUAUGAAUGUUAGUGGUAACAUUGACGAUUGGAGUCAGAUAAAUAGAGCAAGAGCCGAAGGCCGCCUCUUCAGUAAUCUCAAGUGGCCAAAUGAACCUGGAUUGGUAUUGUCGUAUGAUCUUGUUGAGUUGAUAUUUUCCUGUUAGCUUUCAUCUCUUUAUAACUAUUAUUUAAAUAUAUAUUGAUAUACCGGAAUGCAGAAGGACAUGAUCAAACGAUUGCAUUCACUUCUGACCAUCAAGGAAUCAGCUGCAAAUGUUCCUAAAAACCUGGAAGCCAGCCGGAGACUGCAGUUCUUCACGAACUCUUUGUUCAUGCGAAUGCCUGUUGCAAGGCCUGUUUCAGAAAUGCUUUCCUUUAGGUGAGGCUUCUUUAGUUCUUUUGUGCCUGUUCCAUUGACUGUGGAGCUGUUAAUAUUCUCUCAUAAGCAGUACUGCCACUGCACCUGAUUCCACUCUCUGCAGGUUCUAAUGAUAGUAACAGCUGCAAACAGCCUUUUUCCACCUUUUAAACUUCAAUAUAAUUAAUUUUGCAAGUUAAGGUUGCCCCAUAACAUAGCAAGAACGAGCUGAUUUUCACUAGAAACUGGCUAAAACCAACUGCCUUUUAAUUUUCGGUAUUUCCUAUAAUAAUAUUGUCCGGCAGGAUAUUUAGUUGCACAUGUUGCUACAAAUCUUACAGUGGGGAGAAAAAGCUGCGAUGGGCCAUUCUCUCAUAAGUAAUUCAACAAGAAUCUAGAAUCAGCCGAUUUUAAUAAGACACUGACCAAAACUGUCCUUUGUUUUGGAAAACUGAGAGCACAUGCAGUGGUUAUCAGUUUUCUACUGCUCCUAUUCAUGUGUGAAGCAACGGUUCAGCCGACCCUAGCUUUAGAUAGAGCUCCAACUGAUAAAUAUAAGCAUCCUGUUAUGAGAUUAGAUUUUAUGUGCCUGUUGUGAGUUUGUUUUUCGUUUGCUCCAAGGCCUCAAGCUUUUGUGUACUGAACUUGCCUCUGUACUAAAUGAGAAGAUGUCUUUUUUGUGCAAAAAAGAAUUAAGAUAAGAUACUACUAUGAGGGAUAUAUGCUUGAGGUCUAUAUAAUGGGCUGGCACAUACUAUUUGAAAUUAAGCAAAAGCAACCAAUAAAGCCAUUCUCAUCUGUAAUCUCCUGUUCUCUUGUCCAAGUCAUUCUUAUCUAUAGUGCCCUGUCCUUUUCUCCCCUAAAGUUGUUGGCACAUGGCUGUCCUCUACAGCGCCCUCCUCAAACACGGUGCACUUGGCCAUAAAAAUGUUUCAAAAAUUUGACAAAAAAAUGUGUUUAUUAUGCCACUAAAUUUGAAAGGUAAUCUUUAUAUACAAAUGGAGAAACUAAAAGAGAAACAGAUUCUGACUGCAAAGAGAUAAAGAAAAAAAAACUAAAGUGGGAUUUUGUUUCUCCUAAUAUUUGCCACAUUACAGAUCAUUUUUUUCGGAUGCUUGAUUAUUUGUUUUCAAAUCUUUCAUGACCAUUUACACCUUAUUUUCGUAUGGAAGCACCUGUGGGGCAGGAGCAGUAUAUGUUCUUAUGUAUUUUUAUUAGUAUAUCUACUAAUGUGUACAAGGAUAAGCAAAGCAUUAUCUCAGUUAGUGGAUAUUGAGUUCAUACUGGUUUAACUUUGGCAUAUCAGAAAUAUGUGGGCUUCGUUAAAAGAAACGCCAGUUUGUUUAGUUAUUCUUGUUGCCAUGCCUUUCUUGUACAAAUAGUAUAUAGAAUAACAAUACUUUGUAUAACACGUGUAUGAUUCCGUAUUCUUGGUGGUUUGAUUAAGUAAUACAUAAAUUAUAACCCAUUAGAUCUUUACCGUAGCAUAACAAAGUACAUUAUAUUUGUUAAGUUGUACAUGUAUAUGCUUUUUACCCAAAUUCUGUAUAUUUUAUCAUAUUUGUUAAGUUGUACAUGUCUAAUUUCCUUGUAAACAUUUUAUAAAUAAUUCCUAGUGGUUGAUAGAGCUAAUGUGUUCACAGCUAUCCAUCCACAAGUUUCUGCCGAGGUCUCUUUUAGAAUCUAUUGAUGAGUGAUGACCGUAGUUUUAAAUGGCGGGCUAGCGUUUUUAGCAGGGUCCUGCUAAACAGCAUGUAUGUACAAUUUAGUGGUUUUGGUAUACAUACGAAUAUCCUACAGUUACUGCAAUACUUGGCUGUAGGAGGGCUCUUGUUACAUAUUUGUCUGUGAAUUGGUAUAACACCCAAUCUGCAACUCUGUAACAUAAACAUAUUCCUUGAUGUGUAGUAGGCAGCGUAUUUGACAGUACUAGAACUAAAUCAUUCAUAUUUUUGUAUUUGAAACCAUACCAUUCGAGUAUAUAGUUCUCAACUUUGAGUUUGCUGAAACUAUGAGUUGAGAAUUAAAUACUCGUUUCCAGGUCAAGUGAGUACAAACUUCAGUUUUCCUUCCCCCCCAUUCAGUUGCACUUGCUUAUCUGCCUCUGACAUUGCCAUGUUCUUUUGUAGCGUAUUUACUCCAUAUUACUCUGAGACAGUGCUUUAUAGCAUCGCCGAACUCCAAAAGAAAAAUGAAGAUGGUAUAUCUACACUAUUUUAUCUUCAGAAGAUUUAUCCAGGUUUGUUCUUUCUUUCCCUGGUGAAAUUUGGUGACACUUAUGUAAAGGGUGGCCAGCUUCCAAUGAAUUGGUUUGAGAGAUCCCCUUGUUUGCUCUGUUCAAACCAUUUUCCUUUGAAGAGAUCUGUUUCUAUAUUCAAGUAGACCUGAUACCCAACUUGUUGUUAUCAACUGGUCACUUCUUAACAUCAUGAAUAAGACAAACGCCCAUGGACCAUAGCCUCCCUGUUGGAGGAGUGCUAAUAUCUAACAUGGACAAUUUGACCUAGCAGUAUACUGGCAUCAAUACUAAUGCUAUACAACUGGGCUUAUUUCAUUCCCGUCUUAAUUGUUGAGAAUGCAAUUUUCUUUGUUACCAUGGGAAUUCCUUGUCCAAACCUUAUGCGGUUAACUUAUGUAUACAGAUGAAUGGAAGAACUUCCUUACUCGCAUCAACAGGGAUGAAAAUGCAGCAGACAGUGAGCUUUUUAGCAGUGCGAAUGACAUACUAGAACUUCGGCUAUGGGCAUCUUACCGAGGGCAGACAUUAGCGCGAACAGGUUUGCUAUCUUUUGGAACUUAUAUGUUGAUUCUUCUCCGUGUGCAUUCCUGGAUCCAUAUUCUGUAACUAUGUUUGUCUGCAGUUCGUGGGAUGAUGUACUACAGAAAGGCCCUUAUGUUGCAAAGUUAUUUGGAGAGAAUGCAUUCUGAAGGUAUGUCUACUAGCUUCCUUGUCAGACAUAAAUUCUUUACUUAACUGAAUGCAUGUAGCAUCCUUUUCUGAUGUUUUUCUUGUGCAGACCUCGAAUCUGCAUUGGAUAUAGCUGGUCUGGCUGACACACAUUUUGAGUACUCCCCUGAAGCACGCGCACAGGCUGAUUUGAAAUUUACGUAUGUGGUUACCUGCCAAAUCUACGGAGUGCAGAAAGGUGAAGGGAAGCCAGAAGCUGCAGAUAUAGCUCUUCUGAUGCAAAGGUGCUCUUUAUAUUUCAUACUAAAUGAGCGAUGCUUCUCUUUUUAGAACAAGUGAAGGAGCUGAUUAGCUCUUCCUUUUUGUGCGUAUUAUAUUGUGCUACACAAGUACACCGUCUCUGAUUUUUCUUUGUUUCUCAGAAAUGAAGCUCUCAGAAUUGCUUACAUCGAUGUUGUUGAGAGCAUUAAGAAUGGAAAGUCUAGCACCGAGUAUUACUCAAAGCUUGUGAAAGCUGACAUCCAUGGAAAGGACAAGGUAGUUUAGUUUUGGAUGUCUUUCCUCCUGUCUAAAGGUUGAUUGCUGUUAUCGAUUUUCUUAAGGGCUGCUCAAUAGCAGUUGGCUUGGGUUUCAGCCGUUGUAUUCGCUGAUCACGCCUUUACUGCCUACUAUUUUAGUUCUUUUAUAUUGUUUUCGUAUAUUACGUAAAAUCUUUGUGCAGAAACUGUGGGUUAGGCCGUGACAGUAAGUACAUAGAUUGUUCAUACUGAUACUAUUAUCGCAGUUCUUUUUCGAGAAAGCGCAAAAAGCCUUUGCGUUUCAUUGUAUUGAAAAGAAGGGGGGGGGGGGGUUACAUCCUCCUAAGAGGCUAGUACAACAGCGUUACAUGAGGAUUAGUGAACAUCCCAGGAUGUGGGCAAGACUACCCUGAGCCCUUUGGCCCCGGCUCUUGCCCAACAUCUGGUCUCAUCCUUGAUCCUGUCCAUGAGCUCAUCGAGCGAUGGUGUUACAUGGUCAAAAACACACGCGUUUCUAUGCUUCCAGAUCAUCCAGGGCACCAGUAGCGCGGCCGACAUCAGCGCCUUGCGAAGCGAUAGUGGCGUGGCAUCCCUCGCCCUACAUAUUAUCGCAGUUCUCAUAUCCUUACUCUAUGACCAUACACCUGUUUAUACACGCAGCACUAAAUCUUCAACUGUGAACUUCAAUAUUGUGUUUUGUUAUAUGGGCAAUGUGUUCAUUCUGACCAAACUAAUCUUCCUAUCGCAGGAAAUUUAUUCUGUUAAAUUGCCUGGCAAUCCAAAGCUUGGGGAGGGUAAACCCGAAAAUCAAAACCAUGCUGUAAUAUUCACUCGCGGAAAUGCUGUACAAACCAUUGAUAUGAAUCAGGUAUCUAGCUAUCUUCACGCUUCUUUCUUGAGUAAUUUAUCAUCAUUUCUAGGGAAAGACUUUAUGGCUACUGGCUACCUUUAUUUGAAUCAAAUAGAGAUACAUCAUUCAUUUCUGAGCCAAAAGAGAAAAGGCAGAUUCUCCGUCCACAUGCCUGGAGGGAUGAAUCCUGGCUAAGCUUGCCAUUUUUUUUUUUUUUUUGAGAAAACGCAGAGAUAUGCGUUUCUUUGUAUUGAAAAGAGGGAAAGUCAGCCUUCGAGGAGACGAUUACAGCAGGUUACAAGUAGUUCAAUGGACAUCCCAGGAUGGGGCCAAGACUACCCUAAGCCCCUUGUCCCCGGCUCUAGCCCAACACCUCAUCUCAUCUUUGAUCCUAUCCGAGAGCUCGGAGAGCGACGGAGUGACAUGAUCAAAUACACACGCAUUCCUAUGUUUCCAGAUCAUCCAUGGAACUAGCAGCGUGGUGGACCUCAGCGCCUUGCGGAGCGAUGGUGGUGUGGCAUCUCUCGCCCUUAUCCACCAAUCCUGAAUGGAGAUAUCCUGCUCCGGCGUGGGGGCUGGUAGGCGCAGCCAGGAAAGAGCCUCGUGCCAGGGCUGGUAGGCGCAGCCAGGAAAGAGCCUCGUGUUAGGUUUGCCGCGCGAAGGGGCAGGCUAGUAGCAGGUGGCGGAUGGUCUCUGGCUCUUGGUCGCAAAGCAGGCAGCGGGCUUGAUGUGGGAGGCCGCGGCGAGCAAGUCUGUCCGCGGUCCAGCAUCGGUCCAGGUUCACAAGCCAGUGGAAGAACUUGACCUUCGGCGGAGCCCAUCCCUUCCAGACUUAUGUUGAAGCUAUCAUCAAUUAUCGACACCGCUGCAGAUUGGGGACUCAAGCCCACCUCUCAUGCGAUCAGUGAGCUCCAAACUGUUAGAAAAGCAACUUAUCUGUAUUGAAGGCCCAAGGGGCAUAUAUAUAUUACACAUGACUUGAGGUGCAAGGAAAGUAAACAUAGACUAAUAAGGACUACUAGAUUAAUACUAAUAGACUAAUAAAGACUCCUAGACUAAUACUAAUACUUCCUAACACAAACAAUCUGAACGCACAAGCAGAUGUUCAAUGCCGAUUAGGUGAGCUAGUGACAGUAUGUGUUUCAGUGCCAUUGCCUCUGUGGUAUGCUCAUCCGCUACAGGCCCUGUGAAGAAAUUCUCCGCCACAACAAAGUCGCCAGCAUAAUCUUGUAUCACCGCACCACAAGAACUUGUACUAUCAUCAUAUGACAGCGAGACAUCACCAUUAGCUUUUUAACAAUCUAAAGUGUUGUUUUGUCGGAAUUGCUACCAGUGCUUCCGGCCUGGGAGUAAUUCAGAGGCAAAGUCUGAAUCUAGAGCACCGAUCGUUCAGGCAAUUAUACCGCUUCAUUGUUAACAUGCUGCCUUUUCUCUCACAACUUAUACCAGCAUCCCAGUGACAAGGACGGCCGUAGAAACAUGUUCCAUGUACAUACCGUCAGAAUCAACGCCACUAAUAAGUUAAUCUAAAAUAGUGGACCCCGCCUUAUCAAUAAUCAUUGCCUUUUCAAUCCUUUCUUUGAGACCCCAGCUUCUCCAAAUAUUCCUCACCCGCUGGCACCCAAACAGAGCAAGCCGAAUAUCUUCUCUUCCUCAAAAGUCAGGCAGAUAGGAGAGGUUACUGUUCAAGCCCGCCCUAUCAAUACAC
This 17053-nucleotide long non-coding RNA is filed under the name Hordeum vulgare. RNAcentral describes it as "long non-coding RNA (HVUL_LNC011185)". The stretch from base 8624 to 8748 matches the Rfam family "MIR1120/MIR1122 microRNA precursor family". The record is from RNAcentral. Lineage: Eukaryota; Viridiplantae; Streptophyta; Magnoliopsida; Poales; Poaceae.